This 101-nucleotide transfer RNA is filed under the name uncultured Gammaproteobacteria bacterium. RNAcentral's name for it is "tRNA-Ile". The stretch from base 1 to 73 matches the Rfam family "tRNA". From Rfam's summary of the family: Transfer RNA (tRNA) molecules are approximately 80 nucleotides in length. Lineage: Bacteria; Pseudomonadati; Pseudomonadota; Gammaproteobacteria. The record is from RNAcentral.
GGUCUGUAGCUCAGGUGGUUAGAGCGCACCCCUGAUAAGGGUGAGGUCGGAGGUUCAAGUCCUCCCAGACCCACCACUAUCUCGCGGCAGUUACUGAAAAG